AGAACGAACGCUGGCGGCAUGCCUAACACAUGCAAGUCGAACGCGUGUAGCGAUACACGAGUGGCGGACGGGUGAGUAACGCGUGGGAACCUGCCCUGGAGUGUGGGAUAACCGAGGGAAACUUCGGCUAAUACCGCAUACGACCUGAGGGUGAAAGAUUUAUCGCUCUAGGAGGGGCCCGCGUCGGAUUAGCUAGUUGGUGGGGUAAAGGCCUACCAAGGCAGUGAUCCGUAGCUGGUCUGAGAGGAUGAUCAGCCACACUGGGACUGAGACACGGCCCAGACUCCUACGGGAGGCAGCAGUGGGGAAUAUUGGACAAUGGGGGCAACCCUGAUCCAGCAAUGCCGCGUGAGUGAUGAAGGCCUUAGGGUUGUAAAGCUCUUUCGCGCGCGACGAUGAUGACGGUAGCGCGAGAAGAAGCCCCGGCUAACUUCGUGCCAGCAGCCGC
This 448-nucleotide ribosomal RNA is filed under the name uncultured bacterium. Its description in RNAcentral is "SSU rRNA". It matches the Rfam family "Bacterial small subunit ribosomal RNA", at positions 26 to 518 of the family's 1533-position model. The record is from RNAcentral.